RNAcentral lists this unclassified non-coding RNA (220 nucleotides) under plant metagenome. Its description in RNAcentral is "partial contains small subunit ribosomal RNA, internal transcribed spacer 1, and 5.8S ribosomal RNA". The record is from RNAcentral.
UUUCCGUAGGUGAACCUGCGGAAGGAUCAUUACAGAGUUCAUGCCCUCACGGGUAGAUCCCCCACCCUUGAGUAUUUAUACCUUAGUUGCUUUGGCAGGCCGUGGAAACACCAUGGGCUCCGGCUUAGGCGUGCCUGCCAGAGGAAACAAACUCUGUUUUUAGUGAUGGCCGAGUACUAUAUAAUAGUUAAAACUUUCAACAACGGAUCUCUUGGUACUG